Non-coding RNA from Oncorhynchus gorbuscha (pink salmon), 939 nucleotides. The record is from the annotation of a RefSeq genome assembly. Lineage: Eukaryota; Metazoa; Chordata; Actinopteri; Salmoniformes; Salmonidae.
UCCUCUAAUCAGUUAGUGAACACUUCUCUAAACUAAAGCUGGUAGGAUUCCUCUGGUAGUGUUGUCUGUCCUCUGUGACUUUACCACCACUGUUAAAUCUGAGAUCAACAUGUUUAAUAAAGGAAUAUACAACAUGGAUCACUAUCACUACUGCUGCUGCUGUUGUCUUUCAUAUGGACAAUCUGGAGGAAUACUAGCAACACUGAUCUGAUGCUGGACUGUACCUCCAGACUAGGAGAACCUGAUACACAGAGGAAGGAAAAAUGACUCAUGUCUGGAUUUAAGAUACAAUUCAUAUUUGUAUUAUCUAGCAACAGCUAAUAUGAAGUGUUUGUUCUACCUGGAAGAUGGAAACAGUUCCCCCACCCUCACCGUCCUGCCCCCCUCUAGAGAGGAACUGUCCAGUACAACAACAGCCACACUGACAUGUCUGGCCAACAAGGGCUUCCCCUCAGACUGGACCAUAAGAUGGAAAGUGGACGGGACCAGCCAGAAGCAGGAGGCCAUUCCCAGGGUUCUGGAGAAGGAUGGUCUGUACAGCUGGAGCAGCACCCUGACUCUCACUGGCCAGGAGUGGACCAAGGCAGGAGAGGUGACCUGUGAAGCCCAACAGAUAUCCCAGACGCCGGUCACCAAGACCCUGAGGAAGUCUGACUGUUCUGGGUAGGACCCCUCAGUCACACACCCCUGUGGAGCGAGGCUGCUGAUUCCUCUGCUUUGAUUCUGUUCUGAGAUCAGAUGUUCUCUAUCUUAUUGAUCACUGACAUGUAGACUAACAGAGGGCUUUGCUUGAGUCAUUGUGUCAAUCCUCUCUGUAGACUGAGAUUGUAUCAGUGUUAGAUUUGAUGUGUUCGGUUCUAUUACUUUUAGAUACUGUAGGAAUGAUUGCUUUGAUGCUUUGAUUAAUAGACAAAAAUAAAGACUUCUCGUUGGAACAAA